RNAcentral lists this unclassified non-coding RNA (391 nucleotides) under soil metagenome. RNAcentral's name for it is "partial contains 5.8S ribosomal RNA, internal transcribed spacer 2, and large subunit ribosomal RNA". The stretch from base 1 to 122 matches the Rfam family "5.8S ribosomal RNA", at positions 35 to 154 of the family's 154-position model. The record is from RNAcentral.
GAUGAAGAACGCAGCGAAAUGCGAUACUUGGUGUGAAUUGCAGAAUCCCGUGAACCAUCGAGUCUUUGAACGCAAGUUGCGCCCGAAGCCAUUAGGCCGAGGGCACGCCUGCCUGGGCGUCACACGUCGUUGCCCCCCCAUCUACUCCUUCGGGAUUGCGGGGGGCGGAUGAUGGCCUCCCGUGCGCCUAGUCGCGCGGUUGGCAUAAAAACCAAGUCCUCGGCGACGCACGCCACGACAAUCGGUGGUUGCGAAACCUCGGUUGCCCGUCGUGUGCGGUCGUCGCGCAUCGAGGGCUCGAAAAAAUUGCCGGGCUCCGGCUCGGCUUUCAACGCGACCCCAGGUCAGGCGGGGUUACCCGCUGAAUUUAAGCAUAUCAAUAAGCGGAGGA